RNAcentral lists this ribosomal RNA (442 nucleotides) under uncultured bacterium. RNAcentral describes it as "bacterial SSU rRNA". It matches the Rfam family "Bacterial small subunit ribosomal RNA", at positions 338 to 795 of the family's 1533-position model. The record is from RNAcentral.
CCUACGGGUCGCACCAGUGGGGAAUAUUGCACAAUGGGGGAAACCCUGAUGCAGCGACGCCGCGUGGAGGAUGACGGGUCUAGGCCUGUAAACUCCUUUUAUCGGGAAAGACUUAGGACGGUACCCGAUGAAUAAGCACCGGCUAACUACGUGCCAGCAGCCGCGGUAAGACGUAGGGUGCGAGCGUUGUCCGGAUUUACUGGGCGUAAAGAGCGCGUAGGCGGAUCGGUAAGUGUGAAGUGAAAUCUCCAGGGCUCAACCCGGAAACUGCUUCGCAUACUGUCGAUCUGGAGGAACGGAGAGGUGAGUGGAAUUCCUGGUGUACCGGUGAAAUGGGUAGAUAUCAGGAGGAACACCCAUGGCGAAGGCAGCUCACUGGCCGUUAUCUGACGCUGAGGCGCGAAAGCGUGGGUAGCAAACAGGAUUAGAUACCCGGGUAGUC